CGAAGGGUCCAAGCGUUAUCCGGAUUUAUUGGGUUUAAAGGGUGCGUAGGCGGCUUAUUAGGUCAGUGGUGAAAGCUCCAUGCUUAACAUGGAAAUUGCCAUUGAUACUGAUGAGCUUGAGUACACUUGAAGUGGGCGGAAUAUGUCAUGUAGAGGUGAAAUUCUUAGAGAUGACAUAGAACACCGAUUGCGAAGGCAGCUCACUAAAUUGUAACUGACGCUGAGGCACGAAAGCGUGGGGAUCAAACAGGAUUAGAUACCCUGGUAGUCCACGCCCUAAACGAUGAUUACUAGAUGUGUGCAAUAUACAGUACGCGUCACAGCUAAAGCGUUAAGUAAUCCACCUGGGGAGUACGGUCGCAAGACUG
Molecule: ribosomal RNA, 368 nt
Filed under: uncultured organism
Description: bacterial SSU rRNA
Rfam family: Bacterial small subunit ribosomal RNA
Source: RNAcentral